Molecule: ribosomal RNA, 935 nt
Filed under: Salinivibrio sp.
Lineage: Bacteria; Pseudomonadati; Pseudomonadota; Gammaproteobacteria; Vibrionales; Vibrionaceae
Description: bacterial SSU rRNA
Rfam family: Bacterial small subunit ribosomal RNA
Source: RNAcentral
GCGGUAAUACGGAGGGUGCGAGCGUUAAUCGGAAUUACUGGGCGUAAAGCGCAUGCAGGCGGUUUGUUAAGUCAGAUGUGAAAGCCCGGGGCUCAACCUCGGAACCGCAUUUGAAACUGGCAGGCUAGAGUCUUGUAGAGGGGGGUAGAAUUUCAGGUGUAGCGGUGAAAUGCGUAGAGAUCUGAAGGAAUACCAGUGGCGAAGGCGGCCCCCUGGACAAAGACUGACGCUCAGAUGCGAAAGCGUGGGUAGCAAACAGGAUUAGAUACCCUGGUAGUCCACGCCGUAAACGCUGUCUACUUGGAGGUUGAGGUUUUAGACUUUGGCUUUCGGCGCUAACGCAUUAAGUAGACCGCCUGGGGAGUACGGCCGCAAGGUUAAAACUCAAAUGAAUUGACGGGGGCCCGCACAAGCGGUGGAGCAUGUGGUUUAAUUCGAUGCAACGCGAAGAACCUUACCUACUCUUGACAUCCAGCGAAGCCUUUAGAGAUAGAGGCGUGCCUUCGGGAGCGCUGAGACAGGUGCUGCAUGGCUGUCGUCAGCUCGUGUUGUGAAAUGUUGGGUUAAGUCCCGCAACGAGCGCAACCCUUAUCCUUGUUUGCCAGCACAUAAUGGUGGGAACUCCAGGGAGACUGCCGGUGAUAAACCGGAGGAAGGUGGGGACGACGUCAAGUCAUCAUGGCCCUUACGAGUAGGGCUACACACGUGCUACAAUGGCAGAUACAGAGGGCAGCGAGACAGCGAUGUUUAGCGAAUCCCUUAAAGUUUGUCGUAGUCCGGAUUGGAGUCUGCAACUCGACUCCAUGAAGUCGGAAUCGCUAGUAAUCGUGGAUCAGAAUGCCACGGUGAAUACGUUCCCGGGCCUUGUACACACCGCCCGUCACACCAUGGGAGUGGGCUGCACCAGAAGUAGAUAGCUUAACCUUCGGGAGGGC